UAGUUGAGUUUGAUCUUAAUGCAUGUAUGUCCGACACGCCACCUAAUGCGUU
This 52-nucleotide small RNA is filed under the name Arabidopsis thaliana (thale cress). RNAcentral's name for it is "ATSL155830". Lineage: Eukaryota; Viridiplantae; Streptophyta; Magnoliopsida; Brassicales; Brassicaceae. The record is from RNAcentral.